RNAcentral lists this long non-coding RNA (205 nucleotides) under Mytilus galloprovincialis (Mediterranean mussel). The record is from RNAcentral. Lineage: Eukaryota; Metazoa; Mollusca; Bivalvia; Mytilida; Mytilidae.
GUUUGGCGUCAUAAACUGUAAACGGCACAUAGAAAGAAAUUGUGUCGUUCAAUGUUUAUUCAAUCAAAACAAUUACACUUUCACAUGGGGAAUGAUUAUGUGCAGAGUUUAAAAAUCAAAAGUUAUGUUAGAAUUGAUUCCAGAAACAGACGGAGAUUGAAAUUAUCUAGAAGUUCUUUAGAAUUUUUAAGAAUCCAUAUUUGGC